AGAGUUUGAUCCUGGCUCAGAUUGAACGCUGGCGGCAUGCCUUACACAUGCAAGUCGAACGGUAGAGGGGCAACCCUUGAGAGUGGCGAACGGGUGAGUAAUGCAUCGGAACGUGCCCAGUCGUGGGGGAUAACGCAGCGAAAGCUGUGCUAAUACCGCAUGUGAUCUGUGGAUGAAAGCAGGGGACUUGGUAGCAAUACUGGGCCUUGUGCGAUUGGAGCGGCCGAUGUCAGAUUAGCUAGUUGGUAGGGUAAAAGCCUACCAAGGCGACGAUCUGUAGCUGGUCUGAGAGGACGACCAGCCACACUGGGACUGAGACACGGCCCAGACUCCUACGGGAGGCAGCAGUGGGGAAUUUUGGACAAUGGGCGCAAGCCUGAUCCAGCAAUGCCGCGUGCAGGACGAAGGCCUUCGGGUUGUAAACUGCUUUUGUACGGAGCGAAACGGUCUGGGUUAAUACCCUAGGCUAAUGACGGUACCGUAAGAAUAAGCACCGGCUAACUACGUGCCAGCAGCCGCGGUAAUUC
Molecule: ribosomal RNA, 527 nt
Filed under: uncultured Comamonadaceae bacterium
Lineage: Bacteria; Pseudomonadati; Pseudomonadota; Betaproteobacteria; Burkholderiales; Comamonadaceae
Also listed under: 1 other name
Description: bacterial SSU rRNA
Rfam family: Bacterial small subunit ribosomal RNA
Source: RNAcentral